Molecule: ribosomal RNA, 254 nt
Filed under: uncultured bacterium
Lineage: Bacteria
Description: partial 16S ribosomal RNA
Rfam family: Bacterial small subunit ribosomal RNA
Source: RNAcentral
UACGGGGGGAGCAAGCGUUGUUCGGAUUUACUGGGCGUAAAGGGCGCGUAGGCGGCCUCCGCAAGUCGACUGUGAAAUCUCCGGGCUUAACCCGGAACGGUCAGCCGAUACUGCGGGGCUAGAGUGCAGAAGGGGCAACUGGAAUUCUCGGUGUAGCGGUGAAAUGCGUAGAUAUCGAGAGGAACACCUGCGGCGAAGGCGGGUUGCUGGGCUGACACUGACGCUGAUGCGCGAAAGCGUGGGGAGCAAACAGG